RNAcentral lists this non-coding RNA (32 nucleotides) under Geobacter sulfurreducens KN400. Lineage: Bacteria; Pseudomonadati; Thermodesulfobacteriota; Desulfuromonadia; Geobacterales; Geobacteraceae. The record is from RNAcentral.
CAUGUGCCAGACGCACUGUACAGCGAGUACAU